This 477-nucleotide ribosomal RNA is filed under the name uncultured bacterium. RNAcentral's name for it is "bacterial SSU rRNA". It matches the Rfam family "Bacterial small subunit ribosomal RNA", at positions 35 to 507 of the family's 1533-position model. The record is from RNAcentral.
AACGGCUGGCGGCGUGCCUAACACAUGCAAGUCAACUUGACGGAAGGAGCAAUCUGACCGUAGAGUGGCGCAAGGGUGCGUAACGCGUAAGUAACUUGCCCCAAGGUAAGGAAUAACGUCGAGAAAUCGGCGCUAAUACCUCAUAAUGCAGCGGAUCCGCAUGGAUAUGUUGUUAAAGGUUUACCGCCUUGGGAUAGGCUUGCGUCUGAUUAGCUAGUUGGUGUGGUAACGGCACACCAAGGCUACGAUCAGUAACUGGUCUGAGAGGAUGAUCAGUCACACUGGAACUGAGACGCGGUCCAGACUCCUACGGGAGGCAGCAGUGAGGAAUAUUGGGCAAUGCUCGAAAGAGUGACCCAGCAACGCCGCGUGGAGGAUGAAGGUAUUCUAUAUCGUAAACUCCUGUGAGAGCAGACGAAAGACAGAUUAUUAAUCUGGAUGACUGUAUGCUCAGAGGAAGCCCCGGCUAACUACGUG